CAUCUAACGGUUCCUUUAAUGUACAUUUUACAUCAAGAAAUACAGUCCACAAUCCUAAAUGCAAGCAUAGGUUCAUGCAGGCUUAUUAGAACAUACUUUGAGGUGUCAAGAUUAAAAGCACUGGCAAGCAUUACAUUCAUUAGUUAGGGUUUGGAUGCUCGCUUGAGUGUUAUUGUUUUGGUUGAAAUGUUAUUUUAGAAUCCUAUAAUUUCUACCCAAAAUCACUAGUCCAGUUAGGCAGCAGACUGUCUCUGUACUGACAGGACCACAGAAAUAAUAUUAUUAUUGCCCUAAAAAAAGCCUCAGAAAAUGCACCACAAGUGAAAGGAAUGGUGUAUUUUUCACUUUGUCCUGUUAUAAACAGUGUCCUUCCUGGAAGGCUCAUUCUUUUAAAACGGAAUGAAAUGACAAAAUGACAGAAAAUAUAAAUGCAAACAGAGGGAAUCGGAAAAGGUGUGAAUGUCUACAGAGUAUGACAGGCAGGGCUUGUCUCCGAUUUCCGUGCUGACUAAGUCCUCAGUACUAGAGGGCUCUGGCUGCUUGUUCCGAUGAGUCUCUCUCACUCCGAGGACAGACUCCGCAGCAACUGCUGAAUUUUCUCUUCUUGUUGUCAUUCCUCUCGCACGCCGCAUCUCUGGCGCCGAAAGGAAGCUGGUACCAUUCCUUUUGGCUUCCAGGCUACCAUCUGUGUACCCUCAGGGAGUCAACAAGAGAAGAACAAGGGCCAGAAACCAGAACACAGGUGAAAAGAGGUAAACAGAAGCUUCUUGUUUCUGUAAAGGAAUGUUCAAGCCUCAAAAGCACAAGAGCAAAUGGAGCAAGAGGAAUCCCUUGCCCAAACUAAAAACUGAUAAACCUACAAUUGAAAUGGAUGGAAAAAAAGAGGACACUGACUUUCGAUUCAGGUUCUAAUUCUUGCAGGAUGCAUGUAUUUACUUGAAUUGCCUAGUGAAGGACACUCGCCACAGAUUUGGGAUAAAUCACAGCAGGACAGUUCAGCCUUUGACAAUAUAGAUCCAGAAGGUAUUAUAAUAGCUCAGCUACACAAGUAGCAUGCAAGCAGAAAUCAAACAGAAGACACCCCACAGACUACAUGUUGGGCAGCUCUGAUUAAGAUGGGUGCCACCUUUUUCCUGCAGUUCUCUUCUCCUGUUCAUAUUUAACUUCACUUCUCCUGUUGAUAUUUAACUUCAGAGUACCCAGCUCAGCCACAUGUGAAACUAGUCUUCAGACACUGUUAGCACACAAGGAAUUGUUCCAACAUCGCCUACUAAGUGUUUGUUUCCAGUGACAUAAAGACAACUCUAACAAAAAAACUGGACUUCUUCAUUCGUUCUUAGGAAAGUGGGUCCAACUGAGAUCCUUGGAAGUGGUGUGGGAGGGGGAAAAGACAUCCGGUAGCCACAUGAUGAGGCUUGUUUUGCUGACAGAAGGCAAAUAGAAAUAGGCAAGCUGAAGAAAGUUUAGGUUUGUUUCCUCAGCCUUGUGCAUAAGCCUAGAAUCCAGAUGAAGUAAGCAUGUGCUGAGCACAAGAUUUCACUGAUACAUAAAGAUGUCAUCUCGCUCACAAAUUUUUUUGCUGAGGUUGCUCAGUAUUUCCUAAUGCAGUUAAUAAGGUGAGGUGCUCUAUUUGGGAAUUCUGGCUAGGUUUUUGGAGCAACUUCAACUCUCUCUGGUCAACCAGAGGAAGGCUGUGAGCAGCAGCAGCAAGGCAGCUCUGGCUUCACAGGCUCCCAGUGAUUCACCACGCCAUCCACAGGCUGGUCUGAAGGUCAGCGCAGCAGGCAAAUCCCCAGACUCCAUGUUUCCAUAGAUCCAGCAGCCCUGGAGCCACACUUGUAUAG
RNAcentral lists this long non-coding RNA (1844 nucleotides) under Lonchura striata (white-rumped munia). RNAcentral describes it as "domestica (Bengalese finch) lncRNA (ENSLSDG00000016286.1)". Lineage: Eukaryota; Metazoa; Chordata; Aves; Passeriformes; Estrildidae. The record is from RNAcentral.